UCCCUAUCUGCCGUGGGCGUAGGAGAAUUGGUUGGGGCUGCUCCUAGUACGAGAGGACCGGAGUGGACGCACCACUGGUGUUCCGGUUGUGUCGCCAGACGCAUUGCCGGGUAGCUAAGUGCGGAAGAGAUAAGUGCUGAAAGCAUCUAAGCACGAAACUUGCCAAGAGAUGAGUUCUCCCAAUCUAAGAGAUAGUAAGGGUUGUUGUAGACU
This 213-nucleotide ribosomal RNA is filed under the name Haemophilus influenzae. Its description in RNAcentral is "partial 23S ribosomal RNA". It matches the Rfam family "Bacterial large subunit ribosomal RNA", at positions 2635 to 2846 of the family's 2925-position model. The record is from RNAcentral. Lineage: Bacteria; Pseudomonadati; Pseudomonadota; Gammaproteobacteria; Pasteurellales; Pasteurellaceae.